UACAGAGGUCUCAAGCGUUGUUCGGAUUCAUUGGGCGUAAAGGGUGUGUAGGUGGCGCCGUAAGUCGGGUGUGAAAUUUCGGAGCUUAACUCCGAAACUGCAUUCGAUACUGCCGUGCUUGAGGACUGGAGAGGAGACUGGAAUUUACGGUGUAGCGGUGAAAUGCGUAGAUAUCGUAAGGAAGACCAGUGGCGGAGGCGGGUCUCUGGACAGUUCCUGACGCUGAGGCACGAAGGUCAGGGGAGCAAACGGG
This 253-nucleotide ribosomal RNA is filed under the name uncultured bacterium. Its description in RNAcentral is "partial 16S ribosomal RNA". It matches the Rfam family "Bacterial small subunit ribosomal RNA", at positions 524 to 776 of the family's 1533-position model. The record is from RNAcentral.